AGUGAACGCUGGCGGUAGGCCUAACACAUGCAAGUCGAACGGCAGCAUAAGAGAGCUUGCUCUCUGGGUGGCGAGUGGCGGACGGGUGAGGAAUACAUCGGAAUCUACUCUGUCGUGGGGGAUAACGUAGGGAAACUUACGCUAAUACCGCAUACGACCUACGGGUGAAAGCAGGGGACCUUCGGGCCUUGCGCGAUUGAAUGAGCCGAUGUCGGAUUAGCUAGUUGGCGGGGUAAAGGCCCACCAAGGCGACGAUCCGUAGCUGGUCUGAGAGGAUGAUCAGCCACACUGGAACUGAGACACGGUCCAGACUCCUACGGGAGGCAGCAGUGGGGAAUAUUGGACAAUGGGCGCAAGCCUGAUCCAGCCAUACCGCGUGGGUGAAGAAGGCCUUCGGGUUGUAAAGCCCUUUUGUUGGGAAAGAAAUCCAGCUGGCUAAUACCCGGUUGGGAUGACGGUACCCAAAGAAUAAGCACCGGCUAACUUCGUGCCAGCAGCCGCGGUAA
Molecule: ribosomal RNA, 506 nt
Filed under: uncultured bacterium
Lineage: Bacteria
Description: partial 16S ribosomal RNA
Rfam family: Bacterial small subunit ribosomal RNA
Source: RNAcentral